Molecule: long non-coding RNA, 303 nt
Filed under: Elaeis guineensis (African oil palm)
Lineage: Eukaryota; Viridiplantae; Streptophyta; Magnoliopsida; Arecales; Arecaceae
Description: long non-coding RNA (EGUI_LNC045680)
Source: RNAcentral
AUGGAGAAUGAACUCUUUUUCCUUUCGCUCUGGUGAAGCUUCUCAUUAUCUCUGAUGGCCGUUCAAUACAGAGAAGCUUUAGAAAAUAAUUUCACAGCACCUUCGCAUGGUAACAACAGAAAUGAACAGUGAUUGGGGGGUAAAAGCCUUUUAUAGAUGGACCGACGAUUUGGAUUAACUGAUCUCCUUAUCGAUUUGUGUAUCUGGCAUUAAUCUGAUGCUCGAUUAGAUGAUGGUUAGGCACACCUCCCUCCAGAUUUACCUACGACAGAUUGAUCCAUGCUCUAGCUAAUAAGCCAAUCA